Molecule: long non-coding RNA, 348 nt
Filed under: Manihot esculenta (cassava)
Lineage: Eukaryota; Viridiplantae; Streptophyta; Magnoliopsida; Malpighiales; Euphorbiaceae
Description: long non-coding RNA (MESC_LNC006693)
Source: RNAcentral
GCGCUCGUGCCCUCAUCCUCAGGUGGUACUCCAGUCAAUCGUGCAGAUCGACGAGUUCCUCUCAUCCUGUUUUCUGAAAAACAUUACACAUCACAUAAACAUUAGCAUCAUAUGGUUCAUGUGGGCACACAUGAACCCGCAUCACAUAUAUCACAUAUCAUUAAUGCACAUGCAUAUAAUCAUGGCAUUUCACAUCAUCAUGCAAGACAGGACUCCACAUCCUAUCCUAGUGGACAUGAUCUUCCUAUUGUGCUUGACCUUCUAUAACGUCUAUGAGCCCGACACUCUAGGUCCGACCAUAUGAACCUAGGGCUCUGAUACCAUUCUGUAACGACCCGAAAAUCGGAC